This 72-nucleotide transfer RNA is filed under the name Marmota monax (woodchuck). RNAcentral describes it as "tRNA.Undet". Lineage: Eukaryota; Metazoa; Chordata; Mammalia; Rodentia; Sciuridae. The record is from RNAcentral.
GGGGUUGUGGCUCAGUGGUAGAGCACUUGUCUUUGCAUGUGUGAGGCACUGAGUUCAAUCCUCACCACCACA